UACGAAGGGGGCUAGCGUUGCUCGGAAUUACUGGGCGUAAAGGGCGCGUAGGCGGAUAUUUAAGUUGGGGGUGAAAUCCCGGGGCUCAACCUCGGAAUUGCCUUCAAAACUGGAUAUCUUGAGUUCGGGAGAGGUGAGUGGAACUCCGAGUGUAGAGGUGAAAUUCGUAGAUAUUGGGAAGAACACCGAUGGCGAAGGCAGCCAUCUGGACCGACACUGACGCUGAGGCGCGAAAGCGUGGGGAGCAAACAGG
This 253-nucleotide ribosomal RNA is filed under the name uncultured bacterium. RNAcentral describes it as "partial 16S ribosomal RNA". It matches the Rfam family "Bacterial small subunit ribosomal RNA", at positions 524 to 776 of the family's 1533-position model. The record is from RNAcentral.